UACGAGGGAUGCAAGCGUUAUCCGGAAUUAUUGGGCGUAAAGCGUUUGUAGGCGGGCGAGUGUGUUUAAUGUUAAAUCUUAAAGCUCAACUUUGAAAUUGCGUUAAAAACUGCUUGUCUUGAGUAUGGUAGGGGUAAAGGGAAUUCCCAGUGUAGCGGUGAAAUGCGUAGAUAUUGGGAAGAACACUAAACAGCGAAGGCACUUUACUAGGCUAAUACUGACGCUGAGAAACGAAAGGUAAGGUAGCGAAACGGAUUAGAUACCCGUGUAGUCUUACCCGUAAACUAUGGACACUAAACGGUAAAUUUUUAAUUUACUGUUAAAGCUAACGCGUUAAGUGUCCCGCCUGGGGAGUAUGCUUGCAAAAGUGAAACUCAAAGGAAUUGACGGGGGCCCGCACAAGCGGUGGAGCAUGUGGUUUAAUUCGACGGUACACGAAGAACCUUACCAGGAUUUGACAUGCUAGAUAGUUGCUUGAAAGAGUAACGUGCCGUAAGGAAUCUAGACACAGGUGGUGCAUGGCUGUCGUCAGUUCGUGUUGUGAAAUGUUGGGUUAAGUCCCGCAACGAACGCAACCCUUGUCUUUAGUUAUUUUCUAAAGAGACUGCCUGUAAUAAACAGGAGGAAGGUAAGGAUGAGGUCAAGUCAUCAUGCCCCUUAUGUCCUGGGCUACACACGUGCUACAAUGGGAAAGACAAUGAGCUGCAAAUCUGUAAAUUUAAGCAAAUCUCUUAAACUUUCUCGUAGUUCGGAUUGUAGGCUGCAACUCGCCUGCAUGAAGUUGGAAUCGCUAGUAAUCGCUGGUCAGCUAUACAGCGGUGAAUUCGUUCCCGGGCCU
RNAcentral lists this ribosomal RNA (838 nucleotides) under uncultured bacterium. RNAcentral describes it as "bacterial SSU rRNA". It matches the Rfam family "Bacterial small subunit ribosomal RNA", at positions 524 to 1381 of the family's 1533-position model. The record is from RNAcentral.